AUUGAACGCUGGCGGCAGGCCUAACACAUGCAAGUCGAGCGGAUGAAGGGAGCUUGCUCCUGGAUUCAGCGGCGGACGGGUGAGUAAUGCCUAGGAAUCUGCCUGGUAGUGGGGGAUAACGUCCGGAAACGGGCGCUAAUACCGCAUACGUCCUGAGGGAGAAAGUGGGGGAUCUUCGGACCUCAUGCUAUCAGAUGAGCCUAGGUCGGAUUAGCUAGUUGGUGGGGUAAAGGCCUACCAAGGCGACGAUCCGUAACUGGUCUGAGAGGAUGAUCAGUCACACUGGAACUGAGACACGGUCCAGACUCCUACGGGAGGCAGCAGUGGGGAAUAUUGGACAAUGGGCGAAAGCCUGAUCCAGCCAUGCCGCGUGUGUGAAGAAGGUCUUCGGAUUGUAAAGCACUUUAAGUUGGGAGGAAGGGCAGUAAGUUAAUACCUUGCUGUUUUGACGUUACCAACAGAAUAAGCACCGGCCAACUUCGUG
This 484-nucleotide ribosomal RNA is filed under the name uncultured bacterium. RNAcentral describes it as "partial 16S ribosomal RNA". It matches the Rfam family "Bacterial small subunit ribosomal RNA", at positions 30 to 507 of the family's 1533-position model. The record is from RNAcentral.